This is a microRNA precursor of Cercocebus atys (sooty mangabey), 52 nucleotides long. NCBI's taxonomy places the organism in Eukaryota, Metazoa, Chordata, Mammalia, Primates, Cercopithecidae. The record is from Ensembl.
GCAGCAAGGAAGGCAGGGUUCCUGAGGUGUGUCCUCCUGCCCUCCUUGCUGU